This 253-nucleotide ribosomal RNA is filed under the name uncultured bacterium. RNAcentral describes it as "partial 16S ribosomal RNA". It matches the Rfam family "Bacterial small subunit ribosomal RNA", at positions 524 to 776 of the family's 1533-position model. The record is from RNAcentral.
UACGUAGGUGGCAAGCGUUAUCCGGAAUUAUUGGGCGUAAAGCGCGCGCAGGUGGUUUCUUAAGUCUGAUGUGAAAGCCCACGGCUCAACCGUGGAGGGUCAUUGGAAACUGGGAGACUUGGGUGCAGAAGAGGAAAGUGGAAUUCCAUGUGUAGCGGUGAAAUGCGUAGAGAUAUGGAGGAACACCAGUGGCGAAGGCGACUUUCUGGUCUGUUCUUGACGCUGAGGCGCGAAAGCUAGGGGAGCAAACGGG